RNAcentral lists this ribosomal RNA (484 nucleotides) under uncultured bacterium. RNAcentral's name for it is "partial 16S ribosomal RNA". It matches the Rfam family "Bacterial small subunit ribosomal RNA", at positions 28 to 507 of the family's 1533-position model. The record is from RNAcentral.
AUUGAACGCUGGCGGCAUGCUUUACACAUGCAAGUCGAACGGCAGCGCGGGCUUCGGCCUGGCGGCGAGUGGCGAACGGGUGAGUAAUGCAUCGGAACGUGCCCAGCAGUGGGGGAUAGCCCGGCGAAAGCCGGAUUAAUACCGCAUACGACCUGAGGGUGAAAGCGGGGGACCGAAAGGCCUCGCGCUAUUGGAGCGGCCGAUGUCGGAUUAGCUAGUUGGUGGGGUAAAGGCUUACCAAGGCGACGAUCCGUAGCUGGUCUGAGAGGACGACCAGCCACACUGGGACUGAGACACGGCCCAGGCUCCUACGGGAGGCAGCAGUGGGGAAUUUUGGACAAUGGGGGCAACCCUGAUCCAGCCAUGCCGCGUGCGGGAAGAAGGCCUUCGGGUUGUAAACCGCUUUUGUUCGGGAAGAAAUCCUCUGGGCUAAUACCCCGGGGGGAUGACGGUACCGGAAGAAUAAGCACCGGCUAACUACGUG